Molecule: long non-coding RNA, 698 nt
Organism: Thunnus maccoyii (southern bluefin tuna)
Lineage: Eukaryota; Metazoa; Chordata; Actinopteri; Scombriformes; Scombridae
Exons: 2
Source: RefSeq, a predicted model, not a curated record
GCUGUCCUGUUUAAACUGUGUUCACUUCCUGCUGAGCUUUCCUGACUCAGACAACAGGCACUUCAUCAGAUCAGCGGACCUUCCCGUCUCCUCAUCGUCCUCUCUCGUACUGAACAUCAACCUCCAUUCAAACCUCCCAGGACCUUCCUUCUCUGUUUCUCCACGGUUUAUGACUGCAUAACCUCCAGAACACGAGAACCAUUACGGGCCGCCUGGGACCACACACACAUACUCACUCACACAGCACCAACAGCACAUGUGCAGUAUAUACUCAGUGAUAGACUCGGGUACGCCUGCUGUGUUCAGUUCAUGAUUAUGAUCCUCGUGGGUAAAUUCACAGUUCUGCUCGCUUCCGCUCUAACCUUGAACAUAACAACCUCUAAUGAAUCCUUUAUGGCUAAACAUAAACAUGCAUACACUGACUUAUAGGGGGUAGGUCUAUUUUUAGGUGUUUGUUGCAGGGUCAGCAUGUUUUCUGUCCAAACAACAUGUGGAGAUUUUUUAAUGGCUGAUUUAAUGUACCAUUUUUUCACUGUAGAUGUGCCUCAUGCUGCAGCUGAGCCAAAAUCCAUGCCAAGUGUAAUUUUUAGAGGUUGUGAUGUGUGUGAAAUUGUAUCUGUGCACAUGAAGUUUGGGUGCAAUAACUGAUUUUGUUGAUAGUUUAUGAAAGACCAAGUGAGGCCAUCUGACAAAAACUC